Phascolarctos cinereus (koala) is the source of this 929-nucleotide long non-coding RNA. RefSeq lists it as uncharacterized. The record is from RefSeq and is a predicted model, not a curated record. Lineage: Eukaryota; Metazoa; Chordata; Mammalia; Diprotodontia; Phascolarctidae.
GUUUGGUUGUUGUCCUUCAUUCUCUGCCAGAGUCAAGAGUCUUUGUCUUCCUUCAAUGCUCAGCUCAGAAGAUACCUCUUCUAUGAAGCCUUCAGUGUUCCCAACCCACCCCCUUGAAUGUUAUAACUGGAAUAUCCUGUUCAGUUCUGGGUUCAUUUUAUGAAUGACAUCAGUAAGCAGCAAAGAAACCAGGGAGGGCCAUCAAGGUGGUGAAGGGUCUGGAGCCGUGUAAGGAUUAGUUGAAAGACCUGGAUGUGGAUCAAGCUUGGCCCAAAAGAAUAGAUAAAAAGACAUUUUUCCCUUCCCUUUUAUAGAUUUUAGGAACUAGAGGCAAAGAACACAUCAUAUAAUGUCCAACUUUUUUGAUAUGUUGGUCAGUUUUGCUGAACUUUUUUCCCCUUUUUAAAAAUUCUUGGUGGCAGCAAAGCAUAGAGAAAACUUGACCUGGGAGCCAAGAAAAACUGUCUUCAAGUCCUGCCUCUAACAUAUACUGUCCAUAUGACUCUGGGCAAGUCAGUGCUCUGGGAAACUCUCCAAAACUGUGAGAUGAAGAGAAGAUGAGAUAAGAGAAGAUGCACAUCUAUGAGUUCACUAUACCAAUGUAAUCACAGGUCAAGUCCCUAUCCUUAUCUCCUUAUUUCUUUGUUAUAAGAAAAGUCUGUCUGGGGUAGGGCAAAAGGAAACAUUAGGAAAUGCAGGUGAUAAAAAAAAAAUAAGAAAUUAAUACAAUGUUAUUUUAAAGUAAAAAAAAAGAACUGGGACUGUUUAGCUUGAAGAAAAGUCAUGGUGGGAAGGGUUUUAAGAGAAGGGGAUUUGUUACAUGCCUUUAGUUUUUGAGGGGCUGUCAUUUGUAAAAAGUAUUAGAUUUGUCCACUUGAUCCCAGAGGUCAGAACCCGUAGUAAUGGGUAAAAGUUGCACAUAAGCAAAU